This is a long non-coding RNA of Raphanus sativus (radish), 1506 nucleotides long. RefSeq lists it as uncharacterized. The record is from RefSeq and is a predicted model, not a curated record. The transcript has 5 exons. NCBI's taxonomy places the organism in Eukaryota, Viridiplantae, Streptophyta, Magnoliopsida, Brassicales, Brassicaceae.
AGGCUACCCAUGUCAGAUUGGAAAAUCGGCCAAUUAGAUUGCUCUAAAACGCCAUGUCAAUUAGGGAAUAAGAUAUUAGUUUUUAUUUGUUUCUCUUCGUCUUCACCGAUCGAUUCCUCUGCACUGCGGUUAUUGUAAUCCCCCUCUUCGUGAAUCUUGAAGAAGCAAUGGCUACCGCCAUGAAAUCCACCGGCAAGCCUCCCGUCGUUGUGUCUUUAGUGACGUCUCAGAAGAACCAGCCGAAAUUGAUCUCUGUGAUUUCGGUAAAUCCAUUUCUGGGAGGCAAGAAACAUAGCAAAAGGCAUGACCUUUAUUGGGUUGAAACUCCUCCAAUACGACGAACAUGGGACUGUGAUGCAAGGUUUAAACAAGCACGUACUCGCCUCAUCCCAAAGCAGAAACAACUUACAGCCUUCUGAAUUUUCAGGCUACCAGAAGCAAGGAGAUUUAACAAGUUGCUGUUCAGAGUUUAACAAUUUUUUUUUGAAUGAAAAGUUUAACAGUUUGUUUCUUGCACAACUUUGUUCUCUCCGUGCUUGACAACAUCAGCCUCUCUAUUGACGCAGAAAGGUUCAGGUUCCUCUCUCAUGACGAUAUCCAAGGUCUCAGGGGUGAUAUCUACGGGUAAUCUGUCCCAUUUUAAAAAUAUUCUCCAUAUUAAUUUGUUUGUCUGUAUGUUAAUUUAGAUUUUUUUGGCUACAAUUGACUACUAAUCUUCCUGUCGAUGUUGUUGGCUACUUGAAGCCGGUCAAUGAACAGUCUCUCAUUGACUGUUCCGUUGAAGACGAAGUGGAAAUAGCAACACGUGUCGUCCUUUUAGUUUAUUUGCAGUCAAAAGAGGGACCUGUUAUGAAGAAUUAACUUUGGGCCUAGACUGCAAAAGAUUUCUACAAGAUGGAGAAGAUUCAGUGGAAACACUCCCGCCUUGUUUUUAGUCAUGAUGGUGAACACAAAACGCCUUGCAGGUUCAGUUCUAACCCAGGGAUUUUUAAUCUGGUUAAUGCUGAGGAGAUUACUAAAGCUGAGACAAUGACAAUUCGGCAAAUCUUUGCUUGCAUCAAGUUGGAGUCCGCCAAGGUAAAAUAAAUGUUUAAGAUAACUCAGUAGAAAAACGUUAGUGCAUCUUGAGAUCCCACUUGCUACCCACGAUGAGGUUGUUGUGCCUCCUGCAAAAGUAGUUAGUGCAUCUUUCAAUGGCUCUGGAUUCGUUGCUGAUGAGAGAUAUGUGAGUGGCAGUGCCAUUGACGAAUCACAAAAGGCUAACCGUGCUAAACAUGGAAAAUAGAGCUUCUACCACUCAUUUCAUUCGGUGCAUUGUGGCUGCCUUCGUUAUUUCCAGUUCGAGCCAAAACUAUGUUUUUCCGUUUUACUUUGAACGUCCACUCUUGAUUUGGUCUAAUAUUUGCAAACAAUAUGCUUCUUUGUUUAGAUUUUGAUUUCAUUAGAAUGCUUAAUGAUUUACAGCUUUCAAAAGAAGCAAUGGGGUCUAUUUUAUAUUUGUGACUA